This 254-nucleotide ribosomal RNA is filed under the name uncultured bacterium. RNAcentral describes it as "partial 16S ribosomal RNA". It matches the Rfam family "Bacterial small subunit ribosomal RNA", at positions 524 to 776 of the family's 1533-position model. The record is from RNAcentral.
CACGUAGGGGGCAAGCGUUGUCCGGAUUUAUUGGGCGUAAAGAGCUCGUAGGCUGUUCGAUAAGUCGGGUGUGAAACCUCCAGGCUCAACCUGGAGACGCCACCCGAUACUGUCAUGACUAGAGUCCGGUAGGGGAGCGUGGAAUUCCUGGUGUAGCGGUGAAAUGCGCAGAUAUCAGGAGGAACACCGGUGGCGAAGGCGGGUCUCUGGGCCGAUACUGACGCUGAGGAGCGAAAGCGUGGGGAGCGAACAGG